This is a long non-coding RNA of Pocillopora damicornis (cauliflower coral), 452 nucleotides long. Lineage: Eukaryota; Metazoa; Cnidaria; Anthozoa; Scleractinia; Pocilloporidae. The record is from RefSeq and is a predicted model, not a curated record.
UUAUAAACUUAUGGUGUUUAUCAAAAUUUAGGCUUUUGAAUGCUUUGGAAACAAUUUCUCCAAGAAGCAGAUGAAUUCACUGACAAAAGUAAUCCCCCAAAUCAGUUGUUAGGGCUGGCAUCCAAACAUUCUUGAGCCAUGGAAACCAAAAGUGGAAUGUUUUGCUUAACACCUACUUUGAACAGAAUUUUACCAAGGGAAAAAAUAUCACUGGCUUUGCUACAGGGAGAACCAUUAAGAACCUCAGGAGCAAUAUGAGGAUAACAGAUGCUGUACUUCUUUGCAGGAGGAAAGGAGCUGUCACAUGCUUUUCCAAAAUCGAUGAUGUAGCCAUGUUUGUUACUCACAAGAACAUUAUUAGCCUUCAAAUCACAGUGAAGAAAGCCUUUUGUGUGAACAUGCGAAAGGGCUUCUGUCAAAUCAUGUGAAAUAAUUAACCAGUCAUUUGUUAU